This 211-nucleotide ribosomal RNA is filed under the name uncultured bacterium. RNAcentral describes it as "partial 16S ribosomal RNA". It matches the Rfam family "Bacterial small subunit ribosomal RNA", at positions 524 to 734 of the family's 1533-position model. The record is from RNAcentral.
UACGGAGGGUGCAAGCGUUAAUCGGAAUCAUUGGGCGUAAAGCGCGCGUAGGUGGUGGGGUAAGUCAGAUGUGAAAUCCCCGGGCUCAACCUGGGAACUGCAUCUGAUACUGGCAAGCUUGAGUCCGGUAGAGGGGGGUAGAAUUCCAGGUGUAGCGGUGAAAUGCGUAGAGAUCUGGAGGAAUACCGGUGGCGAAGGCGGCCCCCUGGAC